Molecule: long non-coding RNA, 512 nt
Organism: Eucalyptus grandis
Lineage: Eukaryota; Viridiplantae; Streptophyta; Magnoliopsida; Myrtales; Myrtaceae
Exons: 3
Source: RefSeq, a predicted model, not a curated record
CAUCUCUACCAUCUCUCUCUCUCUCUCUUUCUCUCCAAGCACGUACUUUUACGCGAGCUAGAGAUCUCAGUCAACGUUUCCGACCGAAGAUGAGCCAGAACAACCACCAGAACCAAAUCCCAGUGGCGUACCCACCACCGGCAUCAACAAUGGCGUACGUGGCGCCUCCACCACCCGGCUAUCCCACGAGGGACGCCCAACAGCCAGUGCAGAACACCAUCCCCAUCGAGACCAAGACUAGGGGCGACGGCUUCUGGAAGGGCUGCUGCGCUGCGAUCUGCUGUUGCUGCGUCCUGGAUGCCUGCUUCUAGGAAUUCCCAGGAGAGGAUCGCCUUCCGCUUGAUUCGUUGAUCUUUGUGUGUCGCAUUCGAUUCUACAGAUCUUUUGUCAUUCUUGCGAUAAAUGAACAUGUUCUAGUCACCAUAUACCUUUAUUAUUGCUGUGAUAUAUACUAGCGUUCUUGGGUUUUUCUUGCAUCUUUUAUGUCACACUUCAACCCCCAGUUUCCCUUC